Molecule: long non-coding RNA, 1224 nt
Organism: Manis pentadactyla (Chinese pangolin)
Lineage: Eukaryota; Metazoa; Chordata; Mammalia; Pholidota; Manidae
Exons: 3
Source: RefSeq, a predicted model, not a curated record
UAUAUCAAUGUCAUUAUUAACCCAAAUGAUUAUGAAAUAAUAUAGGGAUGGGUAGAGAGAGAGAGAGAGAGAGCGUGCGCAUGUGCAAACAUGAGUGUUCAAUUCUGGGCUUCAUAUAAGAAUAAUUUUACUUAAAGGUACCUAGUUUCUGCUAUACAUAGGUAAUUUUUCUUUGUGAAUCUCACUUUGGUUUUUUUUUUAUUGAAGUAUUGUUGAUAUACAAUCUUACAUUGGUUUCAAAUGUACAACACAGUGGUUCAAUAGUUACCCAUAUUACUAAAUCCUUACCUACUCUAGUAGUACUCAUCUAUCAAUGUAGAAAGAUUUUAAAGAAUCAUUAACUAUAUUCUCCUUACUGUACAACUGUCCCCAUGAACCUCACUUUGGUUUUAUUAACUAUUAAGUAUUAAGAACAUUUCAUUGAACCUCCUAAAUCUUUUAUUUACAAGAAUGAGAUGAAUUAGUAGUUCAUUGAAAAAGUUUAGUUUCAUGGGUAAUGGAAAUCCUGAGUUCUUUUGUUUUAAUGUCUUUUCAGAUACUGUUGCUAAUAUAUUUCUUUUGUCACAAUGGAGGAUAUUUGAAAAUACGUCUAAUUUUAAAGCUUUACUCAUUCAUCCUAAGUUUAAGUGGAUUCUUGACAGUAACGACUCACUUUUUUUUUCUCAUUUUUAAUGGAAGUUCUUAUCUUUGCUGAGUGGAUCUUGGGGCUGACUGUAUAUGCAAACCAUGUAUUAUAUAAAAUUUGAGAUUGUAUCUGAAGAAGAUAGAAUAUUAUUACAUUAUGAUUUUUAUGGGUUCCUAACGAUUAGUGUGCCUUAGAAGACUUGAAUAAUUUUCUCACAUUCUAUCAGUGUGAUUUGCAACUCCAGGGAUAUGAUUAAUACUAUUCAACAUUUUUGUUUAUUUAUAAAAUUGAUAGUCCAACAAGCAGAGAAGCUUAGAUAUUAUCAAUCACUAAUGCAGAAAAAUGAAAUUUUUCAUUUGGAAAUCCAGAUUCCCAUUGUGAUUAGUUAUCUUUUGCUUGUCAAGGAGUUAUGAGAAAACUGAUCAAUUAGUUUUCUCUCCUAAUAGCCCAUAAGAGAAGUAUUAUACUUUAGCCUAAUAGUCUAGGGCCCCCCAAAUAUAUUGUGUUUUCUAUCUGCCCAGUAUUAAAAAGAGAUAGUUUUUUAAAUAAGAAUUUUAAAUAAUCUCUAUUAAAUUCACAGUAGACAUUUUCAUUAAGAA